CGUGGUAAAACUUACCAUUUUUUAUUAUGUAACAUUGGAGGUAAUAACAAGGGAAUAGUGACGUAGCAUCUGUAUCUACACUGCGUCACUGCCGUCAGGCCCGUCACUGUAUUACGUUUACCGUUUACGACACCAACGUUGAACAUUCAACACAUUAAUUAAUAUGUAUAAAAAUCGAAAACUGUUAUGUGUAAUGACGUACUAAAUACGAAUUCGACAACACACACAUAAUAAUAAUUAUCAUAAAUUAAAACCUUUUUUUUUUUUAGUAUAGUUAUAUGGAAUUAUGAAAAUAAUAAUAUCCGUUAUUUUAUUGAAAAAUGUAAUAACCAAUACAAUUUUUUUAGAGCAACACAUUUACAUAAACUACAUUUACUAAAUUUACAUUUAUUAAUUAUUGGUAAUAAGCUAAUAUUUGAUACUCUUAAAAGAUGAAAUUUCAUCUACUCCGUGAUUGAUACUUUUUCAUUAAAUGAAUUGUUUUCAAUACAGCUAUAUUUUUCUUAAUUUUUUCAUGAAAUUCAUUACAAACAAGUUAAACCAAAAUUAAUUUUACACACCAUUAUAGACCUCGUACAGUAUUUUCAUUGCUGGGAUAAUUAUUUAAUGAUACUAUGUACAAUGUAAUUCUAUGUUUUAUUUUAAUAUAAUAUUAAAGUUAUUUUCUCUCGGCUUCCAUUAACCGGGACAUGCUGUUAAAACCGGGACGAAUGGAAAGUUUAGAUUUAAAUUAUGUCAAUGGUAGUGAUAGUAGUAGUCUAUUCAAUAGUCUGUGGAAUUAACUCUAAUCGGCCUACAGUAACAAAUUUCGAUUUGAAUGGUUAAUGGUUACAAAGUGGUAAAAAAUUAGAAACACAAGGACUAGAUCCAACAAAAAUUGUUAACCAUUUGUAAUUAAUCUGUAUUUUUAUUAUAAGAUGAUUAUGAAUGAUGUCUUGAAAUCUGAAUCUAAUGAGCAAUGAGCUACAUUAGAACUUAGUAAUUUUGUAUUUGCGGCAAAUUUGGAUCUAUUUAAAAAAUUAUAUUUGUAUCAGUUUGUAGAGUUCGUGUCCAAUGUCCAUAAGCGCUAUUGGGGGGCAAAAUUUUGGUUACAAAACCAAAUGAUUUGUGCUUAAAAAUAGUUUAUUGUUGAAAAUUCACACAAGUAAAUUAUAAUAGCAAGUAUACAAAAUACAAGUAAUACACAUGUGCGCAGCUUGCUCUAGUUGCUAGUUGCUACACCUACACACUAGUACACUACACAGUAGUUCGUACACUAGAACACUGCUAAAAAAUAAUAACGAUUAACUUAGUGUAAACCAGUAUUUUUUUCAUAACCCCUAAAAUAACAUGAUAAUGAUCACAAUAAUAUACAUAUACCUAUAUUAUUAUAUUUUAUAUAUUUAUUUUUAUUAUUAUAUUUUAUAAUAUAUAAUUUCAUGAUACAAAAAUAAUUAUUGCACAAACAUUUUAAAUGCAUAGACCUGUGCCUUACUAAUUAAUACUGACUAUACUAUUUACUAACUACUGAGUAAUGAGUACUGAGUAUAAAUUACAAAGCCGUGGUAAUGUGGUAUAAUUGUAUAAAGUCUAUGUAUAUGAUUAUACGCACGAUUAUCCUAAAUCGUGAUUAUACGAGAUAACAUUGAUAACAAAGUCCUGAGAGACCGGAGUUCAUUCAUUCAUUGUCGUAGUUCUACGUUCUACUCAUAGUUUUUUAUUGAAAUUUUCUAAUUCUUAUAAGUUUAUUUCGUUUUAAAUUUUAAAUGUUAUUUAAAUACGUGUGUGAAGUUGGGUGACUAAAGUUAGGUGACUAUUUUUCGGACGAAUAGUGAUAAGAAACCCCGUAUACUUUGUUGCGUUUAAUUCAAUUUCAGGCGUACAGUAUUAUUACAUUAAAACCAUAAGGUAGAUGUCGCCUUAUGUCAUACAAUAAUUAAUUGUUUUAAAAGUAUAUAAAUAAAAUUCCUUUACCACGAUCAUGAACAUUAGAGUUAGAGAUGUUCAUGACCACGAUAUUUAUACCGAAUAUAUAUUGUAUUCAUAACAUAUUUGAAAUAAUAAUAAUAACAAUAAUAGAAAGUUAGGUUAUAAAUUGCUCUAGUGUUGAGACUCAAGUCUAAAAUGGUAAAAUCGUUGUUCUCGAGUUCUCGACUCAUUCUUCUCUAUUCGUAUAUUAUGCUUUCUAAUAAAUUAAUAUUGUUGUCUUUUUAGUUAAUACUAGCUUAUUAAAAUUUUAAGAAUACAAUUUGUUAAAAAUGAAAUACAUACUAGGUACAUCAAUCACGUUUUACGGAAGGACACAGGUAUGUGUAAUAUACGGUAGUAGUAUAUGGCUUAACCACGUUUUUGACUGAACUAAUUGUGAAGUUUGAUUGUUUGGAUAUAUGUAUUAAAUUAUGAAUACUUAAUUAAUGUAAAAACAUAACUAUGUAUGAAACAUACAUAUAAUAUACAUACAUACAUAUAAGUAUGAAACAUAGUAUCCAGUAAAUGUUAGAAUCUUUGAAGAAAUGUUCAUGUUUUGAAUAUUUCAACUCGCAAGCUGUUCCAAAAUAAGUUGGAUGACAUCAGUUAUCUAUCAGGAAUCAUUACCCAAGAAACAAAUGGCAUGCAGUCAACACAUCUAUCGUUUUAAUAUUAUGGCUCAAGAAUGUUUUAUUGAAUCUAUUAACAAACUCAGUUAUUGUUGUAUCCUUUACUUAAAAUGAAAAUUGUAUAAUGAGUAAUUAUGUACAAAAAAAUAAAUUAUAAAAUAAAGAUUUAUUUUAAAUAUGCGUUUA
Molecule: long non-coding RNA, 2762 nt
Organism: Aphis gossypii (cotton aphid)
Lineage: Eukaryota; Metazoa; Arthropoda; Insecta; Hemiptera; Aphididae
Exons: 2
Source: RefSeq, a predicted model, not a curated record